Long non-coding RNA from Eriocheir sinensis (Chinese mitten crab), 909 nucleotides. RefSeq lists it as uncharacterized. The transcript is spliced from 3 exons. Lineage: Eukaryota; Metazoa; Arthropoda; Malacostraca; Decapoda; Varunidae. The record is from RefSeq and is a predicted model, not a curated record.
AACACCCAUAACAUUGCCUCUCUAAAAGUUUUGUCAAUCUUUAACCCUCAUUUUCUCACAUUAAAGAUAGCUCUAACUUGGAUUGCUUUACACCAAAACGUAGCCAAACAAUCCCUCUCUCUAACCCUACCAAGAACACCCCGUAAAACUAUCUCACUUUAGAGCUAUCUCACUUUUUCUACAGGUAUUUCCCAUCGACAACACUCAAAACAUUGCCUCUCUAAAGGUUUUGUCAAUCUUUAACCCUCAUUUUCUCACAUUAAAGCUAGCUCUAACUUGGAUUGCUAUACACCAAAACGUAGCCAAACCAUCCCUCUCUCUAACCAUACUAAGAACACCCCGUAAAACUAUCUCACUUUUGAGCUGUCUCACUUUUUCUACAGGUAUUUCCCAUCAACAACACCCAAAACAUUGCCUCUCUAAAGGUUUUGUCAAUCUUUAACCCUCAUUUUCUCACAUUAAAGCUAGCUCUAACUUGGAUUGCUUUACACCAGAAUGUAGCCCAACAAUCCCUCUCUCUAACCCUACCAAGAACACCCCGUAAAACUAUCUCACUUUAGAGCUAUCUCACUUUUUCUACAGGUAUUUCCCAUCGACAACACCCAUACUUAACACCUAACUAUAACUUGCUAUAACUACUGAUACAUUGGAGUUAGGAUCAUGAAUUUUUAAGUGAAGGAAGGUCAACUAAUACUCUAACUGCCAUUUAAGUUAUAGUCACUUAUAACCAACACAAGGGAAGUUAUAGACAAAAAUGUUAAGUGUAUUGAAUUUUACAAGCAAGCCAUUCCUUAAAAUAUGGAUUGGUUCUGAAGUGGAGAAUGGGGUCUUGGGUCUCUCUCUCUCUCUCUCUCUCUCUGUCUCUCUCUCUCUCUGUCUCUCUCUCUCUCUCAACCUAACCUAACAUAA